This 497-nucleotide ribosomal RNA is filed under the name uncultured bacterium. Its description in RNAcentral is "partial 16S ribosomal RNA". It matches the Rfam family "Bacterial small subunit ribosomal RNA", at positions 28 to 507 of the family's 1533-position model. The record is from RNAcentral.
GAUGAACGCUGGCGGCGUGCCUAAUACAUGCAAGUAGAACGCUGAAGGAAGGAGCUUGCUCUUUCCGGAUGAGUUGCGAACGGGUGAGUAACGCGUAGGUAACCUGCCUGGUAGCGGGGGAUAACUAUUGGAAACGAUAGCUAAUACCGCAUAACAGUAGAUGUUGCAUGAUAUCUACUUAAAAGGUGCAAUUGCACCACUACCAGAUGGACCUGCGUUGUAUUAGCUAGUUGGUGAGGUAACGGCUCACCAAGGCGACGAUACAUAGCCGACCUGAGAGGGGGAUCGGCCACACUGGGACUGAGACACGGCCCAGACUCCUACGGGAGGCAGCAGUAGGGAAUCUUCGGCAAUGGACGGAAGUCUGACCGAGCAACGCCGCGGGAGGGAAGAAGGGUUUCGGAUCGUAAAGCUCUGUUGUAAGAGAAGAACGAGUGUGAGAGUGGAAAGUUCACACUGUGACGGUAUCUUACCAGAAAGGGACGGCUAACUACGUG